RNAcentral lists this ribosomal RNA (926 nucleotides) under uncultured bacterium. RNAcentral's name for it is "bacterial SSU rRNA". It matches the Rfam family "Bacterial small subunit ribosomal RNA", at positions 8 to 913 of the family's 1533-position model. The record is from RNAcentral.
AGAGUUUGAUCCUGGCUCAGGAUGAACGCUGGCGGCGUGCCUAAUACAUGCAAGUCGAGCGAACAGAUGAGGAGCUUGCUCCUUUGACGUUAGCGGCGGACGGGUGAGUAACACGUAGGUAACCUACCUAUAAGACUGGGAUAACUUCGGGAAACCGGAGCUAAUACCGGAUAAUAUUUCGAACUGCAUGGUUCGAUAGUGAAAGAUGGCUUUGCUAUCACUUAUAGAUGGACCUGCGCCGUAUUAGCUAGUUGGUAAGGUAACGGCUUACCAAGGCAACGAUACGUAGCCGACCUGAGAGGGUGAUCGGCCACACUGGAACUGAGACACGGUCCAGACUCCUACGGGAGGCAGCAGUAGGGAAUCUUCCGCAAUGGGCGCAAGCCUGACGGAGCAACGCCGCGUGAGUGAUGAAGGUCUUCGGAUCGUAAAACUCUGUUACUAGGGAAGAACAAACGUGUAAGUAACUGUGCACGUCUUGACGGUACCUAAUCAGAAAGCCACGGCUAACUACGUGCCAGCAGCCGCGGUAAUACGUAGGUGGCAAGCGUUAUCCGGAAUUAUUGGGCGUAAAGCGCGCGUAGGCGGUUUUUUAAGUCUGAUGUGAAAGCCCACGGCUCAACCGUGGAGGGUCAUUGGAAACUGGAAAACUUGAGUGCAGAAGAGGAAAGUGGAAUUCCAUGUGUAGCGGUGAAAUGCGCAGAGAUAUGGAGGAACACCAGUGGCGAAGGCGACUUUCUGGUCUGUAACUGACGCUGAUGUGCGAAAGCGUGGGGAUCAAACAGGAUUAGAUACCCUGGUAGUCCACGCCGUAAACGAUGAGUGCUAAGUGGUUAGGGGGUUUCCGCCCCUUAGUGCUGCAGCUAACGCAUUAAGCACUCCGCCUGGGGGAGUACGACCGCAAGGUUGAAACUCAAAGGAAUUGA